UCAUCUCCGGGGGUAGAGCACUGUUUCGGCAAGGGGGUCAUCCCGACUUACCAACCCGAUGCAAACUGCGAAUACCGGAGAAUGUUAUCACGGGAGACACACGGCGGGUGCUAACGUCCGUCGUGAAGAGGGAAACAACCCAGACCGCCAGCUAAGGUCCCAAAGUCAUGGUUAAGUGGGAAACGAUGUGGGAAGGCCCAGACAGCCAGGAUGUUGGCUUAGAAGCAGCCAUCAUUUAAAGAAAGCGUAAUAGCUCACUGGUCGAGUCGGCCUGCGCGGAAGAUGUAACGGGGCUAAACCAUGCACCGAAGCUGCGGCAGCGACACUAUGUGUUGUUGGGUAGGGGAGCGUUCUGUAAGCCUGUGAAGGUGUGCUGUGAGGCAUGCUGGAGGUAUCAGAAGUGCGAAUGCUGACAUAAGUAACGAUAAAGCGGGUGAAAAGCCCGCUCGCCGGAAGACCAAGGGUUCCUGUCCAACGUUAAUCGGGGCAGGGUGAGUCGACCCCUAAGGCGAGGCCGAAAGGCGUAGUCGAUGGGAAACAGGUUAAUAUUCCUGUACUUGGUGUUACUGCGAAGGGGGGACGGAGAAGGCUAUGUUGGCCGGGCGACGGUUGUCCCGGUUUAAGCGUGUAGGCUGGUUUUCCAGGCAAAUCCGGAAAAUCAAGGCUGAGGCGUGAUGACGAGGCACUACGGUGCUGAAGCAACAAAUGCCCUGCUUCCAGGAAAAGCCUCUAAGCAUCAGGUAACAUCAAAUCGUACCCCAAACCGACACAGGUGGUCAGGUAGAGAAUACCAAGGCGCUUGAGAGAACUCGGGUGAAGGAACUAGGCAAAAUGGUGCCGUAACUUCGGGAGAAGG
This 856-nucleotide ribosomal RNA is filed under the name Escherichia coli. Its description in RNAcentral is "partial 23S ribosomal RNA". It matches the Rfam family "Bacterial large subunit ribosomal RNA", at positions 890 to 1746 of the family's 2925-position model. The record is from RNAcentral. Lineage: Bacteria; Pseudomonadati; Pseudomonadota; Gammaproteobacteria; Enterobacterales; Enterobacteriaceae.